Molecule: RNA transcript, 2972 nt
Organism: Branchiostoma floridae (Florida lancelet)
Lineage: Eukaryota; Metazoa; Chordata; Leptocardii; Amphioxiformes; Branchiostomatidae
Gene name: xenotropic and polytropic retrovirus receptor 1-like
Exons: 17
Source: RefSeq, a predicted model, not a curated record
GGAAAAUCUCGUUCCCAAGGGACCAUUGACCAGAAAGAAAAUGGCGGAAAAAUAAAAUCGUCUACGCCCUUGGCUGAUGUUUUCGUGCGUUUUCGGCCGCCCUUGAGGAAACAGAGCAGAUUUCUUGAGAUGCAUGAGUAGAUAACUGUCUCAAGUCAUCGAAGAUGAAGUUUGCGGAGCAUCUAUCGGCGCAUAUCACGCCGGAAUGGCGAACUCAGUACAUACAGUACGAGAUGAUGAAAGAUUUAUUGUACGAGGCACAAGAAAAUGCCCCAACAGAAGAAGUGGCAGGCACUGCUGUCAUUCAGCGAUAUUUUGCAAAGUUUGAAGAAAAAUUCUUCGUCACCUGCGACAAGGAGCUGGCCAAAAUCAACACAUUCUUCUCAGAAAAGCUUGCGGAGGCUCAGCGUAAGUUUGCGAGUCUGCAGAGCGAGAUGAACCAGGUAACGGAGCAGGAGGAACCGAUCCCCACCUUACGCAGCCGGCGCCACAGCCUCCUACGCCGGUCCAGGUCCAAGGAGAAACUCAUCAAGACCAGAACACGCACCAUCCAGGACCUCAAGCUGGCCUUCUCUGAGUUCUACCUUAGUCUCAUCUUGUUACAAAAUUACCAGAGUCUGAACUUCACGGGCUUCAGGAAGAUCCUGAAGAAACACGACAAGUUGAUGGAGACUGACCGUGGAGCGGCCUGGAGAACUGAGCACGUGGAGGUCGCUCCCUUCUACACCAACAAACAGAUCGACAAACUCAUCGGGGAUACAGAGGCCGUGGUGACGUCAGAGUUGGAGGGGGGGAACAGACAGCGGGCCAUGAAGAGACUAAGAGUGCCCCCUCUAGGAGAACAGCAAACUCCGUGGACAACAUUUCGUGUAGGCCUGUUCUCUGGCAUCUUCUUGGUUUUGUCGUUGGUGGUGGUGAUAUCAGCCGUCUUCUCACGCUUCGACAUUGAACUUUGGCCCGCGGUGCGGAUGUACCGCGGGUCGUUCCUCAUCGUGUUCUUCCUGUACCUCCUGGGCCUGAACACCUGGGGCUGGCGCAAGUUUGGUGUCAAUCACGUGCUCAUCUUCGAGAUUGACCCGCGACACCAUCUCUCACAUAGUGAGAUACUAGAGGUUGCCAGUUUCCUGGGAGUGCUGUGGUCCAUGUCAGUACUGGGGUAUAUCUACAGUGAUGUGCUGAAGAUCCCCAGCUUUGUACAUCCACUGAUACUGGUGGGGUUCAUGUUACUGUUCCUCCUCAACCCUCUCAAGAUCUUCUACCACCGGGCUCGCUUCUGGUUCCUCAGGAUAUUGUUCCGAAUCUUCACAGCACCAUUCCACCCUGUGAACUUUGCAGACUUCUGGCUGGCUGACCAGUUGAAUAGCCUGGUGGCCGUACUGUUGGACUUUGAGUACAUGAUCUGUUACUUCAUCUAUGAAGUGGAGUGGCACGACGAUCCUAAUCCUAAGAUCUGUACCAGCUGGAAGUACGGUAUUCGCUCCGUCAUGGCCUGCCUGCCGGCCUGGUUUCGCUUCGCUCAGUGCCUGCGGCGUUACCGGGACACCAAACACGCCUUCCCUCACCUGGUGAAUGCUGGGAAGUACUCCACGUCUUUCUUUGUCAUCGCUUUUGCAACGCUGUCCAGAGUCCAUGGAGAGGUGACAGGUGAGACCCACAGCCACACCUUUUACUACCUGUGGAUCUGUGCAGCCAUCAUCUCCACCUGUUACACCUUCAGCUGGGACAUCAAGAUGGACUGGGGCCUGCUGGACAGGGCAGCCGGGGAGAACACGCUGCUCCGAGAGGAAAUCGUCUACCCAAAAAAGUUGUACUACUACCUGAGCGCAGUACAGAACUUCUUCCUGCGUUUUGCCUGGGUGAUGUCCAUCUCCCUGGGUGAGCUGGGGAUCCUACACGGGGAGCUCGUGGGUUCCCUCCUCGCACCGCUGGAAGUCUACAGGAGGUUUGUGUGGAAUUUCUUCCGUCUGGAGAACGAACACCUGAACAACUGCGGUGAAUUCCGCGCCGUGCGAGACAUCUCCGUCACCCCGCUCAACCAGGAUGACCAGGCCAUGCUGGAACAGAUGAUGGACGAAGAGGACGGAGUCACAAACAGACGCAAGGACAGAAAACCCUCGGAUCAGAAUAGUAACCUUCGCCCUGCAAGGUCAUUUUUCAUAAACACACCAUGGUCCAGUGUUGAAGAAGAUCCGUGAAGAAGCCCCAGUUGUGGGCAGAUGAGGAGGAGGAGGAAGAUGAGGAAGAGGAGGGAGAAGAGGACACCAUGAGAGUCUGAUCAUCCUCAUCACAGGAUACUACAUACAUUGUUCUUGAAGGUUCCCUCACAACAUCUAGCAGGCUUAAGGCAGGGACCUGUUGUUGCUGUAUAUAGUCUUGUCCUAGAUUUCUGUGUUGCCUGUAAUUUUAUCUUAGUUUGUAAUUGGGAUAAACAAAUGUUUGAUAAGAAACCCCAGGGAUGUUGUCAUGUUGUACAUGUUACAGUAUAUGACUUCUUGGCAUCUCUGAAUGUUUGCAUGACAGGUAAUAUUUCUGGAAGACAAGGCAAGUGUAUCCUUUGUAGGUCUUGCCAGAGUAAGGAGCUGAUACCUAUAGUCUGAAGGGACAGGUUUACACCUGGAGUUAUGUUUCAAUCAGGUAGGCCACAACCAAUUUCCUUUGGUUUGUUCAUGGGUAUUACAAAGUUGAGGGAAUAACUGAGAAUUUCAACCCAGUUAACAAUAUUUGUAAAAGGCAUCUUUUUUCAAGGAAAUAUAAUUGUCACUUGUACAUCUUUUCCACUUUUUAGUGAAGAAAAUUAGUAUAUUAAUUUGUAUGGUUUGUUUUGUUACUGUUGUUUUGUUCGUGUUGAGUAAGUUGAAGUCAGAAUCAUGCCAUCUAUAGAAAUUGUUGUAGAAAGUACAACAUGUAUAUUAUGUCCAUGUAUGUGAUCUGGCCUGUGUGGCAGUGUAAUACAUGUACCUUGGUGUGCUGUA